CUUGAAACUUACAACCUGGAAAUUCCCCCAAGUAUUGGAUGGAAAUAGGGAUAGGGAACAAUGAAGUAAAGUGGAAACUUUGCUAGUUUCUUUGCCCCUUCUCCUAUGAAAUCUUACUUCUUUGCUUGUCUAAUCAUGUUUUCGGGUCAGUUUUUUUCCCCCUUACACCAAGGAGUUGUUAUUUUAAAACAGAAAAAAAAAAUUAAUGAGAAGACUAAAGGGGCUUUGUGAUGAUUUGUUUUCGUUAAAUGUUUAAUUUUAAGGGCCCAUUAUGCUCGAGGGAGGAAGUAGGUGUCCACCUAUUGCUGUUCUCCUGGGGAGCUGGUUUUCCUUGCUUGAUUCAGGUGACUGGGGUUUUCUGCAACAUUACCCUGGCUCUGGAUCCCACCCAGGAGAUUUGAGCUUCCCUCCGACUGCCCAGCUAUAAACGCCCCACCCAGUAGCCGCUCGGCGGAGGAGCGGAAACUCCUGCUGGGUCCUCCAUCGCUUUUCCUGGGUGGAGGCCAAUUCACCAGCUCCAGCCACAGUGAGCCAAGCGAUAGCUCAGGGCACGGUGCAGGUUUCCUCUCCCGCGCCUGGAGUCACGCUACCUUCUGCCCACACGCGCUUCCUUUGUGUGAUGCCUGGCUAAUAUAUCAGUGAGGCAGGCCUAAGUACUGCUAGGAGGGAAGAAGCAAUUCCAACUGUGGUGGAUUCAAAAUUUGGAGCUGGAAAACUAUGUUAUGACUUUGAGACUCAGACUGGGCUCCCAAGGCCUGGAAGGAUUCGCCAACUCUAUAUAGUGACUGUUGGGCUAAGUCAUGCCAAAGAUUAACCCCCCAGGCUACACCUGUCUCUUGAGUUACAACAUUUCUAUGAACCAGGCAAUUAGAAAGGAAAUGCUUAUUUCAUCUGACAAAUAAUUCACAUUGGAAAUAUAGUCAUGGAUUGUGAGUUAGGUAGGGAGAGGAAGUAAGAAAUGAUCUUCACUGCAUUCCAUUCGCUUGGGUCAUCUUUUAAAGUAGAAGACAGGAAGGGAAAACUGGCAUGGUAAUCAACACGAAAGGUUGUAAGGCCUCUGAUGAUUCAGAGUAACAUUAAGAAGUUGUGUAAUAAUAUUAUAGUCUAUAUAAAUACACCAAAUAGAAGAUUGCAAAGAUAUUAUAUUCCCUCAAGCUGCCUGUUGAGUCCUGAGAGGAUCAAGUUCUACCUGAUUCUUGAUUUACAUGAUGUAACAGCUGAUUGUGUUGUGUGUUGUGUUUUAUUUAAUUCUUUAUAUAAUGAGAAUAUAUUUUUUAAUGUUCAAAGAGGUUUCUUAAAUAAAGUUUUGAUUUUUCAGGAUUUGUAUUAAACAUAUAUUUUAAAGCCAUAUGUUCACUUACAGUUGUUACCAGAUGAUGCUGUUUGUGGAAUAACCUGCAAUUUUAAGAAUAAGCACAAAUUCACUUUAACAGAGUAAAACAGCCUUCCCUAGUUUACUCAUUUUCAGCACCACCAAGAGAAGUGUUGUAACCAGUGUUCAAUUUGAAAUAUGAAAACUCUGGACCAUAGUGAGAUUCUUUUCUACUAAGUGCA
This is a long non-coding RNA of Heterocephalus glaber (naked mole-rat), 1554 nucleotides long. NCBI's taxonomy places the organism in Eukaryota, Metazoa, Chordata, Mammalia, Rodentia, Bathyergidae. The record is from Ensembl.